Molecule: long non-coding RNA, 536 nt
Filed under: Fukomys damarensis (Damara mole-rat)
Lineage: Eukaryota; Metazoa; Chordata; Mammalia; Rodentia; Bathyergidae
Description: lncRNA (ENSFDAG00000033288.1)
Source: RNAcentral
AGCGUCAAACAGAACUUUACUCUCUUUUUAUAUCUCUAUGUUUCUAUAGGAGGGGGAAACAGCAACUGCAAUCACUGGGGAAACAGCCAUCGAUCUAAAUAAUUACAUAAGCAAGGGAGCAGGAGGCUUGGUGGGGCUUUCUGGGAUCACCUUGCUCUGAGCACUGGGAAACAUGCAACCCUCUGGCCUCCCUGUGGCUGCCUUCUCGGAUCCCAGCACGUACAGAAGUCACCUUGAAAGUUGACGAUCAACUUCUCAGAGAAAAAACAAAGAAGUAUUUAAGGGCAUCGAUGUUACCAAGGUGCCCAGGGGCAGCACCCAUGUGCCCGUGUGCCAGUGCUUGGGCGCAGAGUGGUGCAUGUGCAUGGGACCUCGGCCAGCACUGCACAGUGAUGACAGAAAGGCGACUCCGGCUUUCAACCCGAUUCUGAGGAUGCCUGAAUUCAGACGGGAAAUCAAUAAACCGGCUCCGAAUUAGCAGCAGUACAUCUUUCCUUUUCAGAGUGUGGAUCUGUUGUCUGGCAAAGCCAGUUUCC